CCUACGGGAGGCAGCAGUGGGGAAUAUUGGACAAUGGGGGGAACCCUGAUCCAGCCAUGCCGCGUGUGUGAAGAAGGCCUUUUGGUUGUAAAGCACUUUAAGCGGGGAGGAGGCUACUUAGAUUAAUACUCUAGGAUAGUGGACGUUACCCGCAGAAUAAGCACCGGCUAACUCUGUGCCAGCAGCCGCGGUAAUACAGAGGGUGCAAGCGUUAAUCGGAUUUACUGGGCGUAAAGCGUGCGUAGGUGGUCUUUUAAGUCGGAUGUGAAAUCCCUGAGCUUAACUUAGGAAUUGCAUUCGAUACUGGGAGACUAGAGUAUGGGAGAGGAUGGUAGAAUUCCAGGUGUAGCGGUGAAAUGCGUAGAGAUCUGGAGGAAUACUGAUGGCGAAGGCAGCCAUCUGGCCUAAUACUGACACUGAGGCACGAAAGCAUGGGGA
This 438-nucleotide ribosomal RNA is filed under the name Acinetobacter celticus. RNAcentral's name for it is "bacterial SSU rRNA". It matches the Rfam family "Bacterial small subunit ribosomal RNA", at positions 338 to 767 of the family's 1533-position model. Lineage: Bacteria; Pseudomonadati; Pseudomonadota; Gammaproteobacteria; Moraxellales; Moraxellaceae. The record is from RNAcentral.